Molecule: long non-coding RNA, 719 nt
Filed under: Moschus moschiferus (Siberian musk deer)
Lineage: Eukaryota; Metazoa; Chordata; Mammalia; Artiodactyla; Moschidae
Description: lncRNA (ENSMMSG00000020032.1)
Source: RNAcentral
GGGGGACUGUGUGCAAAUCUGGUUGGGAUUCGACAGAACCCCAGGCGGCUGGACUUAUACACAUCCUCCUGAAUCAUAACCAUCGGUCAGGGUUCCCUGGAAAAAUCUGGAUGUCUAACAGGAACACUCAGAACCGAUGCGGCUUCUCCACGGCUGAGGUGUCUGCUGGAUCUGCUGCCUAGGGCCAUUUGGAAUGGCUGUGAACAUCUCUAUGAAACCCCAGGUCUUCGGUCAUAAAGAUGAAAUUAUUUGGAGAAGCUUCCUUGAAUCAUUGUCAUAGAGUGGAGUAGACCGUUCUUAGCUUCUGCAUCGAAUAUUCUGCCAGAGGGAAAAAUGUGCUAAGAUGGAAAAGCAACCAAGUAGAUUUUCAUGGAGACAUUUUUAAAAGCAUCUUCUUAGAAGGACGAUGUAAUGGCCGCCUGCUCUGCGUCGGCGUUGUUGUAAAGGAUCACUGUUGCUGGAAGGUGCUGGACGGUCCUGGCCUCUUUGGAGCCCUGCAGCGGCGGGAAUCCGGUCCGAGGAUUAAGGCAGCGCAGCGGUCUUGCGAUGGGCGGUCAGGACCACCGCCGGGCUGGCUGUUGACCUUGGACUCUGUCUAUGCCCCAUCCGGAGUGGGUCCUCAGGAAGCCCUUUGCCUCUCCUGGCUCUCGGUCCUUGGAAGCCCCUCUCUCUCCCCGAGGGCACCCCCCACUCCCCUGUCUGGUCUGCUCAGAGUCUCC